GUUUGGUGACAGGAGGGGACCAGGACGUGCUGAGCUACACCUGGUACCGCAACCGGGUGUGGCUGGGCACCGGCUCUUCCCAAAAUCUCACCUUGCCUGGGGUCACCGCCUCCGAUGCCGGCUCCUACCAGUGCUCCGUGCAGACCCCGGCCCAGAACCACAGUGCCACCCCUGCCACCCUCAACGUCCUCUAUCCCCCAAGGAACCUGCGGCUGCAAUCCUUCGUGGAGAGCAGCCAGGGGACGGCCACCAUCCUGCUCUGUGCCGUGGACAGCCACCCCCCGGCACAGCUCACCCUGCUCAGGGGGGGACACCCGGUGGCCUCCAGCCCUCCCGGAGGAGGUGACACCUCCCGGCAGAGCAUCCGAGUGUCCCCCUCUCCCAACGCGCUGCGGUUGGAAUUCCGGGAAGCCUCCGAGGAGGAUGAGGGCGAAUACGAGUGCCAGGCACGGAACGCCCUCGGUGUCACCCACGCGUCCCUCAAGCUCCGCGUGCAAGCCACCAAAGUGCUGGUGCGACCCUCGGCCGAGGUGGCGGAGGGGACAGAGGUGACGCUGACGUGCCAGGCCCCUCACGCUCAGCCGGGCACCCUCUACACGUGGUUCAAGAACGGGCGGUGGGUGACAGAAGGACCCGAACCCUCGCUGGAGCUCCGCGGUCACCGCUCCGACGCGGGGCUCUACGGCUGCCGGGCGGGCCGGGGGUCCCGCGCCGCCCCUGUCACCCUCUCCGUGCUCUGUGAGUGACGGGCGACACCUCCGCGAAG
This 766-nucleotide long non-coding RNA is filed under the name Cyanoderma ruficeps (rufous-capped babbler). RNAcentral's name for it is "lncRNA (ENSCRFG00000000552.1)". Lineage: Eukaryota; Metazoa; Chordata; Aves; Passeriformes; Timaliidae. The record is from RNAcentral.